RNAcentral lists this transfer RNA (85 nucleotides) under Felis catus (domestic cat). It matches the Rfam family "tRNA". Rfam says of the family: Transfer RNA (tRNA) molecules are approximately 80 nucleotides in length. Their secondary structure includes four short double-helical elements and three loops (D, anti-codon, and T loops). The record is from Rfam by way of RNAcentral. Lineage: Eukaryota; Metazoa; Chordata; Mammalia; Carnivora; Felidae. RNAcentral also lists the same sequence under 1 other name.
GCCUGGGUGGCUCAAUCAGUUAAGCAUCUGACUUCAGCUCAGCUCAUGAUCUCACAGUUCGUGGGUUUGAGCCCCACAUUGGGCU